RNAcentral lists this ribosomal RNA (270 nucleotides) under uncultured Eubacteriales bacterium. RNAcentral's name for it is "uncultured Clostridiales bacterium partial 16S ribosomal RNA". It matches the Rfam family "Bacterial small subunit ribosomal RNA", at positions 65 to 339 of the family's 1533-position model. The record is from RNAcentral. RNAcentral also lists the same sequence under 1 other name. Lineage: Bacteria; Bacillati; Bacillota; Clostridia; Eubacteriales.
UUCGGGACUGAUUAUUUUGUGACUGAGUGGCGGACGGGUGAGUAACGCGUGAGGAACCUGCCUUUCAGAGGGGGAUAACAGUUGGAAACGGCUGCUAAUACCGCAUAAGCGCACAGCAUCGCAUGAUGCAGUGUGAAAAACUCCGGUGGUAUAAGAUGGACCCGCGUUGGAUUAGCUAGUUGGUGAGGUAACGGCCCACCAAGGCGACGAUCCAUAGCCGACCUGAGAGGGUGACCGGCCACAUUGGGACUGAGACACGGCCCAAACUCC